GGCGCGUUCGUCUAGAGGCCUAGGAUAUCGGGUUUUCAUCCCGGAGAUCAGGGGUUCGAAUCCCCUACGCGCUACCA
RNAcentral lists this transfer RNA (77 nucleotides) under Candidatus Nanoarchaeia archaeon. Its description in RNAcentral is "tRNA-Glu". It matches the Rfam family "tRNA". Rfam says of the family: Transfer RNA (tRNA) molecules are approximately 80 nucleotides in length. Their secondary structure includes four short double-helical elements and three loops (D, anti-codon, and T loops). Further hydrogen bonds mediate the characteristic L-shaped molecular structure. tRNAs have two regions of fundamental functional importance: the anti-codon, which is responsible for specific mRNA codon recognition, and the 3' end, to which the tRNAs corresponding amino acid is attached (by aminoacyl-tRNA synthetases). tRNAs cope with the degeneracy of the genetic code in two manners: having more than one tRNA (with a specific anti-codon) for a particular amino acid; and 'wobble' base-pairing, i.e. permitting non-standard base-pairing at the 3rd anti-codon position. Lineage: Archaea; Nanobdellati; Nanobdellota; Candidatus Nanoarchaeia. The record is from RNAcentral. RNAcentral also lists the same sequence under 2 other names.